RNAcentral lists this ribosomal RNA (433 nucleotides) under uncultured bacterium. RNAcentral's name for it is "bacterial SSU rRNA". It matches the Rfam family "Bacterial small subunit ribosomal RNA", at positions 960 to 1392 of the family's 1533-position model. The record is from RNAcentral.
CGCGAAGAACCUUACCAAGGCUUGACAUACACCAGAACACCGUAGAAAUACGGGACUCUUUGGACACUGGUGAACAGGUGGUGCAUGGUUGUCGUCAGCUCGUGUCGUGAGAUGUUGGGUUAAGUCCCGCAACGAGCGCAACCCUCGUUCUAUGUUGCCAGCACGUUAUGGUGGGAACUCAUGGGAUACUGCCGGGGUCAACUCGGAGGAAGGUGGGGAUGACGUCAAAUCAUCAUGCCCCUUAUGUCUUGGGCUUCACGCAUGCUACAAUGGCCGGUACAAAGGGCUGCAAUACCGUGAGGUGGAGCGAAUCCCAAAAAGCCGGUCCCAGUUCGGAUUGAGGUCUGCAACUCGACCUCAUGAAGUCGGAGUCGCUAGUAAUCGCAGAUCAGCAACGCUGCGGUGAAUACGUUCCCGGGCCUUGUACACACCG